UGCGCAGGCGGACAUGUCAGUGUCUUGUGAAAUCCCACGGCUCAACCGUGGAACUGCAGGGCAUACUGCAUGUCUUGAGGCGGGUAGGGGCUGCCGGAACUCUAGGUGUAGCGGUGAAAUGCGUUGAUAUCUAUCGGAACGCCGAAGGAGAAAUCAGGCAGCUGGGCUUGUCCUGACGCUGAGGUACGAAAGCGUGGGUAGCGAACAGGAUUAGAUACCCUGGUAGUCC
Molecule: ribosomal RNA, 229 nt
Filed under: uncultured bacterium
Lineage: Bacteria
Description: partial 16S ribosomal RNA
Rfam family: Bacterial small subunit ribosomal RNA
Source: RNAcentral